AACGAACGCUGGCGGCAUGCCUAACACAUGCAAGUCGAACGAGACCUUCGCGUCUAGUGGCGCACGGGUGCGUAACGCGUGGGAACCUGCCCUUAGGUUCGGAAUAACUCCCCGAAAGGGGUGCUAAUACCGGAUAAUGUCUUCGGACCAAAGAUUUAUCGCCUUUGGAUGGGCCCGCGUUGGAUUAGCUAGUUGGUAGGGUAAAAGCCUACCAAGGCGACGAUCCAUAGCUGGUCUGAGAGGAUGAUCAGCCACACUGGGACUGAGACACGGCCCAGACUCCUACGGGAGGCAGCAGUGGGGAAUAUUGGACAAUGGGCGAAAGCCUGAUCCAGCAAUGCCGCGUGAGUGAUGAAGGCCUUAGGGUUGUAAAGCUCUUUUACCCGGGAUGAUAAUGACAGUACCGGGAGAAUAAGCUCCGGCUAACUCCGUG
RNAcentral lists this ribosomal RNA (433 nucleotides) under uncultured bacterium. RNAcentral's name for it is "partial 16S ribosomal RNA". It matches the Rfam family "Bacterial small subunit ribosomal RNA", at positions 29 to 507 of the family's 1533-position model. The record is from RNAcentral.